AUGCAUGGGGAAUGGUCGGGAUAGCUCAGCUGGUAGAGCAGAGGACUGA
RNAcentral lists this transfer RNA (49 nucleotides) under Hydrangea febrifuga. Its description in RNAcentral is "partial tRNA-Phe". RNAcentral also lists the same sequence under 1 other name. The record is from RNAcentral. Lineage: Eukaryota; Viridiplantae; Streptophyta; Magnoliopsida; Cornales; Hydrangeaceae.